GGUUGGCUUCGUGGUGAUUUGUCCGACCGGCUUGCGGCCACGUUAAACCAAGCGCUAAAGAGGUCCGGCCCCGAGGUCC
RNAcentral lists this non-coding RNA (79 nucleotides) under Magnetospirillum sp. UT-4. Its description in RNAcentral is "Alpha-proteobacteria SAM riboswitch aptamer". It matches the Rfam family "Alpha-proteobacteria SAM riboswitch aptamer". From Rfam's summary of the family: This family is a riboswitch found predominantly in alpha-proteobacteria that binds S-adenosyl methionine (SAM). This SAM riboswitch is located upstream of the metA and metC genes in Agrobacterium tumefaciens, and other methionine and SAM biosynthesis genes in other alpha-proteobacteria. The record is from Rfam by way of RNAcentral. Lineage: Bacteria; Pseudomonadati; Pseudomonadota; Alphaproteobacteria; Rhodospirillales; Rhodospirillaceae.